AAGGAACUGAUGAGUGACACUGACUCCUUACUGCAGCAAUGGAUCCCAAACUGAGAAAGGCCAAGAUCAUGUUCGGCCUGAAAGUGAAGAAGAAGAAGAAAGUCAACACCGACCUGGUCCUGGAAAACAAGGGAGCUGUGGACAGUGAGGCGGAGGUGCACUCUGAUGUGACUGUCCUGCUGGAGGGAGAAAACCUUGACGAUCAACCUGGAACCUCCGCAGUCAGAACCAGGAUAAUACCAAACAAUAAGAGGGCCAAGCUGAAAACUCGCGUCCAGGACGGUGAAGGGAAACCACAGAGCUUCCAGGUGAC
RNAcentral lists this long non-coding RNA (313 nucleotides) under Sparus aurata (gilthead seabream). RNAcentral's name for it is "lncRNA (ENSSAUG00010027290.1)". The record is from RNAcentral. Lineage: Eukaryota; Metazoa; Chordata; Actinopteri; Spariformes; Sparidae.